This is a non-coding RNA of Zonotrichia albicollis (white-throated sparrow), 567 nucleotides long. The record is from RefSeq and is a predicted model, not a curated record. NCBI's taxonomy places the organism in Eukaryota, Metazoa, Chordata, Aves, Passeriformes, Passerellidae.
UGGGCAUUAACAGCUGCAGAAAAUGCAGCUGCACCAUUGCAUCACUCCCAGUGCUCCCUGCUGUGGAAGCUUUUGUUCUCUGGGUGAGGACACCAGGCUGCUCCUCGUGUACAGCAAAAGCUCUGGGGGCAGUGGGAGCUGCAAAUUCCCCAUGCAGCUCCUUAAGUUGCACUUGUGCUGCUCUAAUCUCCCUCUGGAAUGGUGCAUUUGGGCAGGAAAAUGGGGAUGAGCUCCUGGAUGAGCUGAAUUCUCUGCUGAGCUGCUGCUGUGAGCGUGUGCAGCCUUUCCUGGGGCCGGGUUCAGAAGGCAGAGUGUGCAGCUCUUUGCAUCUGAAAGGAACUUCCUUGGUGGGGAGGAAGCAGCUGGGAUCAGGAUUUACCCUGACCUCUGUCAGAUGGUAAUUCCAAUCUGGGAUUCUGAAGGAAAACAAAUUUCCAGGAGGUGGAAGCACCCAGAGGCAGAAGAUGCACUCGCUGGGAAUACCAGGUUUGGUGCCAGGGUGCCACUGAAUGUCCCCAAAUUAUCACAUUUGGUUCCAGGUGCCACUGAAUGUCCCCAGAUUAUCCC